Molecule: ribosomal RNA, 434 nt
Filed under: denitrifying bacterium W40b
Lineage: Bacteria; Pseudomonadati; Pseudomonadota; Alphaproteobacteria
Description: bacterial SSU rRNA
Rfam family: Bacterial small subunit ribosomal RNA
Source: RNAcentral
UUUGAUCCUGGCUCAGAACGAACGCUGGCGGCAGGCUUAACACAUGCAAGUCGAGCGCCCCGCAAGGGGAGCGGCAGACGGGUGAGUAACGCGUGGGAAUCUACCCAUCUCUACGGAACAACUCCGGGAAACUGGAGCUAAUACCGUAUACGUCCUUCGGGAGAAAGAUUUAUCGGAGAUGGAUGAGCCCGCGUUGGAUUAGCUAGUUGGUGGGGUAAUGGCCUACCAAGGCGACGAUCCAUAGCUGGUCUGAGAGGAUGAUCAGCCACAUUGGGACUGAGACACGGCCCAAACUCCUACGGGAGGCAGCAGUGGGGAAUAUUGGACAAUGGGCGAAAGCCUGAUCCAGCCAUGCCGCGUGAGUGAUGAAGGCCCUAGGGUUGUAAAGCUCUUUCAACGGUGAAGAUAAUGACGGUAACCGUAGAAGAAGCCCC